This is a long non-coding RNA of Drosophila yakuba, 546 nucleotides long. RefSeq lists it as uncharacterized. NCBI's taxonomy places the organism in Eukaryota, Metazoa, Arthropoda, Insecta, Diptera, Drosophilidae. The record is from RefSeq and is a predicted model, not a curated record. The transcript is spliced from 3 exons.
UCUAGCUUAAGGCCCUCAGCUGCUAUAGCUAAUCCAAAAUUCCGCAUAAUUUUAAUUAGGCCUAAUUUCUCAAUAAUAAUAAUAAUAAACAAAGUGACGUUAUUAUUUUAUAUGAAUAUACGAAUUGCAAAUUAAUACUUGGUUGCUCAAAUUGGGAAAUAGAACUGAUAAGUUGGGAAUAUUACCAUUAGCGUAGGGCACAUUAAAAACUAAAACUUCGGAUCCGCAAAAACAAAAAACCUGAUAACAGAUGAUCCCAUCGUAUUGUCGGCAGAGCAUAAAUUCUGGAUCAGACGGACAACAGUAUCAGUUUAGUUAGUACUUCUGUUCCAACUACUUCGAAGAUGAAAUUCCUUCUGGUUCGGCCUUUUGGCUCUGUGCAGAGCUAUUCCCGAUAUCAUUAUCAAUGGAGGAGAUUGCAUUGCCUGCAGUGACUAUAGCGGCUCUAACAAGAGCGGGUCCCGCCCUAAGCUCAAAACAAUUCUUUAUCAGUUGAUUAUGUGGUUCUUUGACCUAUUUUAAUAAAAGCUCACUUACUAAUCUCUA